RNAcentral lists this long non-coding RNA (11884 nucleotides) under Gallus gallus (chicken). RNAcentral describes it as "lncRNA (ENSGALG00010016318.1)". Lineage: Eukaryota; Metazoa; Chordata; Aves; Galliformes; Phasianidae. The record is from RNAcentral.
AAGAAAAAAAAAAAAACACGAAAAAAGGGAGGAAAAAAAAAAAAAAGAAAGGAAAGUGGCGACAACAACAGCGCGGGCGGACGGAGCGCUCCGCGGGGACUGACAGCGCGGGGGCACCGCUCGGACGUUCGGCGUUCCCACGGCGCGCGUGUCCGCGCCGGAGAGUGGGGGAACCCCGUGGGGAGAGCGGUGGUGAACCCCAACGGAACGAGGUUGGGUGGGGGGCGGGGGGUUACUUGUAGCGUCCGCAAAGGUCUUCUGUUUUAUGUUUCUUAAAAUCUAUAGCGAAGCCCCAACACAGAUUCCAUUGACUCAAUGGGAGAUCUCCAGGUGCAGCCGCUCGAGCGGUCCGUGCCAGAGCCCCGUGUUUUCCUUUCCAGCCGAUUUUGCUUGGAUCGGGCUCAAAAAGCCGAGCGAGUCUCGUGGUUUUGUUUACACUGAAUGGGGAGGAUAGGAGCGGUGCCAUGGGGCCGUCUUUCAUUAAUAUACAGUGAGGAUUUUGUCUAAAUUACCGCUAUGAAUUUCACAGUGCGCGCUUUCAAAAGCCGUCUCAGGUGGCCCGAUGGAACGUGAUAGCGCCUCUGCAAACAGAUCCACGUCUGAAUAUAGACGGAGGGGGGGGGAGAACCCCCCCCAAAUAAUAAUAAUAAUAACAAUAAUAAUAAAAAUAUAUGCCCCCCCCCCCCCCAUCUCCCUCCCGAGAGCGGCAGCAAAAUAAGGCUGCGGCGGGAGCAGCGCCUUUUAUUGAAGAGGCAAAAAAAAAACCCCCAACUUAGUUCCCCAACUCUUCCCGCCCCCUCCCUCGCGGAGUGUGAUUGUUUUGUCUGGAAAAAAACCCAAAGUAUAACAAGGGGAGAACAGUUAGUGCUGAUUUCCAUUUGCAUAAAUUUUCAUAUAUUUUGGUGAAAAUAAUAGACGGGCGGAGAGCGGGGCUCGGCGGAGUCAGUGCGAGGGAAAUGCGGAGCGGGGAGAGCCGUGCCGGAGCCGAGAAGGCGCGCUGUGCCCCCGUCACCCCAUUAAAACCCCAAAUGAACGCCCAACCGCAUCUCCUCGGUGCUGGGAGUGCGCUCGCCGCCUGGACUCUCACAGUUCUUCGGUAGCUUUUCUGAUCCAUCAUGUCAGCCUGGCAGCUGUGCCUCUGCGCUCUGCCUGCUGCCCACCGCCAGCCAGAUUUCAGCCUCCUACGUGUGGCAUGCCCUCUUCCCUGGCUGUCCCCUCACCGGAGAGCUCAUUUUGCCUGCGCCUCUAUUUAAUGGAUUUCCUGUAACUGGAAGAACUGCUUUCUCUCAGGGGUCUUCUUAGCCCACGGCACCAGCUCCACAAGCACAGAGGAGUGUGUGUUCCCAGAUGUACCCAGGCCCACUCUGUUCUCCAGCCUCGUUACAUGGGUUUCUGUCUCUCCUCAGCAUCCCCUUGAAUGGCAUCUACUGCACGGAGUGCCUUCCUUGCCUCUAGUUAAGAUUUAUACCGACUGCCGCUCUGCUUACUACGGUUGAGAGGAUGGGUGAUAUGGCCUAACAGGGUGGAAGUAUUGAUCGAAAUGAAACUUUGACAAAUGGCUGGAACAGAAUCUUGAGAAAGUUCCUUGACUGUUCCUUUCCAUUCAAAAAGAGAAUUUCAGAGUAAAUUUGAUCAGUUCAAUUGUUCAAAGGAAAUGGAAAGAACAGGAGAGUGGAAGUUCAGUAGUAGCAGGAACACAGAAGUCAUAAGGCUGACCUAGACAAUGGGAAGAUGCAGAAUAUUUUAGUAACGUGCUGUAGUAACUGUCACCUGCAAAAUGUCCAUCAGCACUUCUGCAAAUUCUUUCCACCAUUCUCAACAAGAUAACAAAAGAUAACUUUUCGGACCACAAAGCUGAAACACUUCCUGUGACUCAAAUGGCUCCAGCACAGCUAUUUCCUAGAAGACAUCCUCCCUGAUUUCUUGUGGUGCCUGUUAGAUUGCUGAAGUUGCAGUGCAGAGAUAAACCAGAUACCAGAAUAGAGGAACGUUUCUCAGAAGGACCAGUGAGACAUCUCCUGACCUCUGUCUCCAUCUGAGGAUAUAUCUGGAGUAGAGCAGAGAAGCAGAGGCACCACAGACUACAGAUACCCAUGGGGAAUGUUGUUCUGCCUCAAGGUUCAGCUCUACAAUAUGGCCAUGGACCGUAUAUACCCAUAGGUUCCUGUGAGUGGGUGAAGUGGGUGAGGGUUUAGACAGAGGCUGGGAUGAGUCUGAAGGGAUGCUGAUCUGGGUGGUGGGGGACUGGGACUCCAUGGCAUACUGUCACAAAUCAAAAGAUAAGUCUAGUUACAGCCAUUCAGCCUUUGAUUUUCUCGCCUUCCUCCUAAACUAUUUUCCCAAGAACUUAUUUGUCUCAGUCUGCGUUUUCCUUAUCUGCAGACAGGGCUAUGAGGCAUACCAUACUACAAUGAAUAUGGGUACUCACUCCAUGCUGGGCUGUGGGAGAAAGUUUUGCACAGCUCUAGUAAAACAGGUGAACAGCUACAGGUUUGAAAAGCCUCCUAGCCUUCCCUGAACCUCAAAAGGCCCAGUGUAGGAUUCCUCACCCAUCCUGAUUAUCCAUAAGUAGAUCAGACAGCAUCUCAUUUCCUAGACACAAACAUUCAGCGGUGUUCUGCAGUUGCUUCAAGAGUAAAGAAAAUUCCUCCUGGCUCCUACUGAGCAGUCACUGGCAUUGGUCAACCAUAGCACACCUUGUCUUUGCCAGAAGCCAGUAUCAGACAAUAUGAAAGGGAACUGCCCCCUCCUUCCUGUGUAUGUAAAUGUAUAACAGUUUACCACGGAAGAUGAUGCCUUUCUGACUCCAUCUACUGACUAGCUUUUACCAAGAACUACUGACACUAUUACAUAAUACUUGUUAGUAAAACUCUCACAGAUUUUUUCAAGGCCAGGAACAACCAUUAUUAUCAUCCAGUCUGAUCUUCUGCAUAAUAUAUGCUACUGAAUUUAACCCAAUCUGAACUUGGUGUGUAGAUUUGCUUUUAUGUCUCAAAAUGCCUCCUCAUUUACAAAUAUGAUACUGUUUCACCGAGUACUAUCUGUGCAGCAGCAAGUUCCAUUAAUUAACUGUACAUUGUUUGGAAAAGCAAUACCUCUUAUCCGUUUGAAAUUCGAUACCUCUUCGUUUCACCUUGCAGGAUAGGAAAGGGUUUUUAUUCCUUUGCUGCUAAUUAGGUUGGAGGAUCAUGAGGACAAAAUGUUAUUUAUAUUAUAGUCGUGCUUAAGGAGAGCUCUGAUGAAGCCUGGGGAUCCCACUGCACAAAGUGAGGGAGACCGUGCAAUUCCUUCAGGACUGAGACUAUUUGAAUGGACGAAUGGCAUAUUUUCAAAGGAGCUGAACGAUUUCACCAAAACGAAUGUCAGACAAGUCAAUGGAUUCAUACUUCUCAAUCACCUAUACAUUUCUAAAAAAUCAAUCCAAAGUUUGAAGGAAAGAAAGGCAUGGAAAAACAAAGUCCCUGAAGCCAAGAUCAAGAAAUAAGUUUGGUAUGUAGUCAGUGAAAAGAAAAACGUGUUGCUAAUAUGCAGCUCUGUGUCCACUGUCCAUAGGUCACUUUGGCUUCCAGAGGCUCAUGGUCUUAAAGUCCUCCCUUUAAGAGAGCAGGGUGCACUGGGCAAAGUACAAUGUCUGCUGCAUGCACAGUCCCCAGUUCUUUUGCCCUGGGGCCAAGGACAGCUACAUUAUCUCAGGCAACAGCGGUUAUCCAAGUUUAUGGAAAGGGUUCACGUAAGAUUUGCAGUCCCAUGAGGGUCAGUCUGCCUUGAGAGAUAGGCUGGGGUUUGUGUUCUCUCUCUCUUCUCAAGGAAAUUCCCCAUCCUUUUGACUUCUAUCUUUUUUUAUUGCCAUUCUCUGGACUUCUUCUAUUUCUACUUUCUUUUUUACAGGGAUGAGGUGACCAAAUUUGAAGACAGUAUUCAAAGUGAGGAUGUGCCACUGAUUUAUAUAAUGGCAUUAUAAUAUUUUCCAUAUUAUUCUCUAAAACUCUUUUCUUCAUACAAACCCCUUAAGAUUCUUUUUAAUUCUUUGAACUAUAGUGCCUUUUAACAUCUGUAGUUUACUCUGAUCAGAUUUUGACAAAGGAAUAAAAGGCUCCAUUUUUCACAUAGAAUUUUAUUUAUUGUUUGAACUUUAGAGGAGAAAUUGGUUAACUUACAAUUUAAAAUUCUUGGCAAUGUAGACCAUUGGACAAGGAUUUCAUUAUCAGCCCUUCUGUACUUUCUGUAGAAAUGCUUAAAGUUGGUGGACAGAGUCUUGGCUAAAAAGACUUUACUUUCGUACUAUAAACAUAGCCAAAGACUUAGUUUGGAGCUGCUAGCAUCCCCAAAGAUGUCAGAGAUAUCAUUGUUCUGUACCCCCUUCCUGAUGCAGUGUGCUGGGGCCAUGCAUUGACAUGUCAUCCAGCCAGAGUUGUGCGUGUGUGCAAGCGGUACCCAAAUGCCGUGAUCUUCUCUUUACCUUACCACGUACUUCCACAGUAGGUCAGGAAAAGACCCCUCUGAAAAUGAGGUGCUUGAUGACUGCAGAGGGUGAGAAUCUUGCUCUCAUGUCACAGCUGGGCGUGAUGCCUUCAUCAGGGUAUUAGAAAAGGCUCGAGGAAAACAGUUACAUCCAUUCUAUUGCUUAAGACACUUCCUGCAGCUACUGACUCGUCUUAGAGUUACCAAUCCAAAUGCUGACCCUGCCUGACCCUACUUAUCUUUUAAAAGCUGACAAGAUCACAGCCUGAAGCAGUAUAGCCACAGGCUCAAUACUGGCUACCAAAAUGUCUGUUUAGUAUUUUCAAAAACGCUGCUCUUAAGAUUUACAAUACAAGCUGCUGGAUGUAUGGACAACACUGAAACACAACCCUGACCCCUGAACAUUCAGCCCUACUUACACAGAAAUUUGUGCCUCUCGAGGGGCCAGCACUGAGUUGCUGCAAAACAGUUAUUCCCUACCUGCAAGUGAGCUGGAAUUAAAGCAUCAUAGGGUUGUAUGCAUUCAGAUACUGGGUAAAAAUAUUUGAAAACUACAGCCUUGAUUUCAGAAUUCACUGACAACUUCUUUCAUUAGCUGCAUUACUGCUUUAACAGUAGAAAGAGUUCCGCCCUUUUUGUGUAAUAUCUUUUUUGGUUUAGUAUAGAAAAUCGUCCUAAUUCUUCUAUGACCAAAGCAGUUUUUCAUCAGAAGUUGUUUUUAGAUGAACUGUAAGUUUCUUCCCUAGCAGUGAAAGAAGCUCAUAUUUUUCUGAAUAUUUCUAAGGUUAAAUGGAUAAACACAGCUUUAAAUACUCAUGAAACACUAAGGGACCGAUCUAGUUGAGUUGUUUGUGCAUUCAUACAUGAUAUAAAUUCAUGGUUCUUGCAGGUUUUUUUUUUUUUUAACAGCAAAGAUAUGGAAAAGACAAUUGAGGUCUUAUUGCUCCUGUUGGAAACUUCUGCCGACUACAGCAAGAGUUGGACUGGGCCCAGAGAAACCAGAUACAUACAAGUUGCAAUGAGUUGGCCACACAAGCAAGGAAAAUCACAGAUAACGGAUGCACACAAAUUAGUAAUGUACCUUUUAGGUCAUCCAGUACAGCUUGCUGACACAUUGAGAUUGUCUCCUAUGGCAUAUUUUUGGUUGCUUUGGAUGACUGGAUUAAAUGUCCUAAGUAAUGCCAUUUACUUAAGGAGAGAUUGUGCUGCCCAGUAUAUCCUGUUAGAAGUCUUUUUUUCCUUUCUUAACAUCAUCAUAUUUCUCCCAGUUUUGUUCCUUUGCAAACCUCCUUAUUUCCCUUCUGCGAUGCUAUUUUUUCUCCAGUGUCUUUAGACUAAUGUGAUGUUCCAUUUAGUUAACAUUAAGUCAGUUCAUACCUAUUUAGAUCAUUUAAUCUUUUCUGAUAAAUCAGUCCUUUCAGUCUCCUGGUUAUUUUCUCAUCUCCUCUUGUCCCACUCCUGUCUGUCAGUAGCUUUUUUAGCUAUGAUAUUUUAAAGAUGUGGUGCAUUUAUCUGAACUAACGGCAGGUUGGGCACAGACUUGAGCACCCUCAAUACCUUCUCACUGAAAACCACUCAAGGGAAGGCCACUGGCACUCUGUGCAAACAAGCAGGCAGAGCAUUCUGUUCAAACCAUUUCCUUGGUAUCACCUGUUUUACUGAUCAUCAACAAAAAACAUUUAAACAUUUAGCCUAGUGAUUCAAAAACCAAACAUGGGUCACUAUAGAUUAAUUAUAUUUUUUCAUAAUGCUAGGAAAUAUAAUGGCAGAGAGGAAAAUACAUUUGUUGUUGGUAUUUUCAAACUCUUGGUCGUGGAUAUCACAAUCUAAAAUUAUGGAAGAUGUUGUCUUGUCUAGUAACUAUAUUUGGGUGCCACUGGAGUACACUGUAGAAAGUAAUUAUAUAUGUAGUCACAAGCAUAGCUGUUCACGUCAGGCAAUAAAUUCUGAUCAACAAACAACACUCCUUUAGUGCUAAAUGAAAUCUUGGCUGUAAUUGACUGUCUUUACCUUUGUGUUCUGUUGGAUUGGAGGAAUAUCAUUUUAAUCUGCUCUCUUUAAAUUUUCAUUAAGGAACGUUUCAGCUACCUGCAGCCUCGUCUGAUGAUGUUUAAUGAUAUAAGCUAGCACGUUCUUCCGUGCACCAGCAGGGGCUUCUUUAAAUUGGUCAACCGUACAGAACAUUGUUUUCGUGUUUAAUGUACUUGGAAUCAACCUUUUAAAAUAAUGAUGUCUCUACAGACAGUUUAUAUACGUAGCACACACACAUAUGUGCAUGUGUAUGUAUGCAUAUAUACGCGUAAGUGCACACAUACAUAGAGAAACACUGAUCCUAUUCACCUUCUUGAAAACAUUUCAGCUAGUAUUAGCAUAAAUGUGCUGUUAAGUUGGCAGUGUUAUACAUUUUUGUUGGAGUUUACUUCUGUAACCUAAAAUCAAGCAGAUAAGCUGUGAAACUCAUGCAGCUGAUGACAUAACGCUGGGAUCUCAUGAUGCUGAAUCUCAUAUUUCUAGGCAUAAAGGAUGGAUGUUCCUUUCUGGAAUUAUUAUGCUGCCUAUUGCAAUAUAUGUUUUCUUGUUUUCAUGUGGGCACUGAGAUGUUCAAACCAUUAAAUGUAUAUGGUAUAAUGAGUCCUGUGUUCCUUAUUUAUUCUAAAGAAGGCAUUAACUUUCUAUGGUUGUUUUAUUGUAUGAUAAUAAAGCCAACUACUCUAAGAAUCUGUGAUGAACAUAGCAAUAAGCUGUGACAAUAUGCAUAGUUACAUUUAAUGCCGAUGUCCAAAUGUACAUAUGUGCAUAUAAAUAAGCAUAUAUGUAUAUUCAAGCACUCAAAGAUAGGUACACACACAAAUUAAAUACAGUCAAUUAGGAUAUGGCAUAAGCAGAUUCAAAGCUUACCUGUUACGGCUUUGUAAAGGGGGAAAUCCGAACCACAAAGACACACAUGAAAGUAAAGCUCUAUAUACUCCAUUGGCUCGUUACCAUUAUGCUCAACAGUGACAGGCUGUAUGCUAAGACGGGGUACCAGCAGACAUUCGCCAUGACAGCUGGUUCAAAACAGAGCUUUCAAAAUAGUGCAACACCCCUCACUUCCUUCCAAAUCCUGGUGUUUGCCAGCAGCACUUAGCUGAGGCUGGCUCUUAAGGUCAGAUGUUCAGAUAUAAGUUGUCUGAAAUGAAUCUGCUUCUUUGUUUUUGGACCGUGUAUAUGUUCAGCAUAGCAUCUAGGCUCUUCAUGAAUUUGUGUUUGAGUUCACACGUGAGUAGUGCUUGCCUAUUACCUGAAAAAAUGAUGGAUGUUUUUCCCCGACACCAUGCUCUAUUUGCCUGAGAUUGUCCUCUAUCAAAUUCUCCUUUCUUUUGUGGGUUACAUAAAAUGAGAGCCAUACACAGGCUUCUUGUUUUCACUGAAAAAAAUAAAAAAGCACAGCCCCUCUGUUGAGAAAUAGAAGCAAAACGGUUUCUCUUUAACAUCACCCACAUCACACGCACUGCUCAGCCAAUUAGGGACAGAGCAUAAAAAAUACUUAGUUUAUCCUGUGUGACUUUUCCCAGUAGAUACAUAUAGAAUCUGGAAAUAAACACACUCCUCCUUUGGAAGGAAACGCAAACAGGGUUUAUCUAUUUGCAUUUGAACUCAGUGAAAAAUAACCAGGCACAAAAAGCAAGCUUGAAGAUAAGACACCAGUAUACAUAAAGCUAAAUUUUAGCAAGCUAAAUUCUGCUAUGCUGUUAUAAUUGCUACGCAAAACACGAGCUAAUUCAUUGUUCCAUUGUGCUGGUGAAAUAGGUAUGCGUUACAUGUGGGGCAGGUAGGGGAGCUUACACAGGGAUGCUGUUGACUUUGCUGAGCAGCCAGUGUGUGGGGAGCAUGCCAUCAACAACCUUGUGAAAAUGAGGCUGGUGAACCAGCUUGGUCUCGGAAAUGACUUUAGAGUGGGUAGAAUAAUAUUUAAAAACUAUGAUGAAUUAUAGCUGCAGCACACGAAUACUAAGUGUGUGCAGUUUAUCAUUUACCAUAUCACCUGGGGACCCCAAGACCUGAGUGUCAGAUCUUCAGAGGAAUUCAGAUGGCUAAACGUGCUGCUGCCUGGGGAUCUUCAGUGCUGCCCAGACACAUCCCUCCUAAUGCAAUCAAGGAGAUCCAGGUAUCAGGGCUCUUCAGAAAAGCAUUGAUCAGUCUCUUGGGCAGCUCCACUCCGUUCCUGGAGUAUUGACCCUGCUUCAGCUGGAAGUGCCUCUGGGGAGGUGCUGAGGUGAAUGGGAUGAGGCUGUGCACAUUUCUGGAGGAGGUAGGGCUCUCCUGCAAGCCAGAGGCAUGAGCAGGGCUGCUUCCCUGCAGCAGGCCCGCUGGGCUUUCUGAUGCUCAGCUCACCAGCUCCGGUGGUACACGAGCAGCGUGGGUACACACUGUGGCUGGCGAUGCCCCUGUUUGACAUCAGCCUUCCCUCCUGGAUCCGGGCCGCUGCUGAUUGCUGAGGGGUGGCCAGGAGCAGCUCCCUCUGGUGAACCUCUUUUGUGCUUUUAUCUCCCUCCUCUUGGCAGUGAGCUGGCACUGGAUGCCAGCCACGGCCCGCUCACCCUCCCCAGUGCCCAGCCGGAAUGCUCAGCCAGUGCCUACUUCUCUUCCAGCAGCUGGCCCUACUUCUCCUCCACAGCUGGCUGCUGCCCCCUACUGUGGUAAUUAUUAUUUAUGAUGGAUAUUCAGUGUACAUUAUGUGUCCAGAGUCCAGUGCCAUCUGAGUCAGUACCAGAGUCCUACUGAGUGGGCAGAAGCACACAGCAAUGCGCUGUUGUUCCACACAUACACUCACCAGGCUCUCACACAGGGAUAGACUGAGGGGGAGGGAGUGAAGGUGGCUGUUGGCACCUAUUAGCAUGAUCUGAUGUGACACGUACUCUGUGUCCUGUGUUACAUGACUCUGACGACACCACAGCUGAGUGCAGAACUGCUUUUCUUCACCUUGCUAUCAAUAGCAGGUCUCUUGCAAUUCAUGCUAUCAAAUGGGAAACACGCAAGGUGUUUGCCAAAAGACGUGGUUGCUGCUCAGCCUCUGCUUAACUCCCUUUUGCUUUGAAGGUAGAUAUCGCUUGGUGCUCAGCUGCUGUCGAGAAGUGACGACCAUAGACCUCAGCAUGGCUUCAUUGGGCAUCACUCAAUUUCCUGUUUCUCUCCCCAACUGUCUUUUCCAGGAGUGCCUGAUUGUGCUGGUCCCUUGUUGCAUGUGUCUAUCAUCUCCCUCUUGCCCUUCACCUUUCCUUCUCACACUGCCUCCUUGAACCCAUUACCCUCAGGCAAAUACAGCAGAGCUUUAACUUCCAUAUCUUAGUGUAAAAGCAAAAGCACCUGAAUGAAGCAGCAUCCUCCAUGCAUUCAGAAAAAUACAGAAUCUUAAACAUGCUUCAAACACACAUGUAAUGUAUGCGAGCCAGCUUCUCAGCUAUAGUGGUUAGGUUUAUCUGUUAAAGAUGAUGGAACAAUACUGUUUCAUGGCAGCUAAGGAUCUGUCCCAGUAUGUAAAUGUAAAUAUCUAUUUUUACAAGCCCUCCUACAGUUUGCUUUAAAAGAAACCUUUCUUUUUAGACACUGAAAGCAUACAAGCCAGUCAGAAAUGUCCCACUUUCUAUAUUUUGUUUAAUUCCUACCUCUGACUUCCUUUGAAAUCUAAUGAAUUCAAAAAAGACAGAGUGAAUUAAAAGUGAAGUAGCUUUGCCUUUGGUGCACAGGGCCUGUAGGAACUGAAAAAAAAAGAAAAAAACAGGAAAGAAAUGAAAUGGGUAUGAAGCCACAUCAAUCCAAAUAAUUUUAAAUGUUUGAUGGUAAGCAAGCUCACCAAACCUAGCAAAAUUCCCACUGUCCUUUUGCUUGUGACUUCUAUCCUUUCAACUAGCUGUGGCAAAUUAAUGUUGAGAGCAAAUACUCAUGCAUUCAGUCUGUAUCAGGGCACUUUCUGCCAUGAUUCUCUUUUUAAAUUGUUUUGAGUUUUAUGUCUAAUUGCUUCCUUUGUGUUUUAUGCACAAAGAUGCCUGCAUCCCAUAUUUCAUAUGUAUCGAGCUAUAGUUCUUGGAUAGGGUGUAUUCAAACCUCAGAACUCUUCAAGUUUGAUUCCAGGAACUGAUUUGUCCUUUUUUUAAAGAUAGGAACCACAUGUGCAACCUGGAUCCAGAUCUAGGGUAGGGUCUGGAUACGUUACUUUAAAUGCACUAGGAUGAGGGAUCCAAACUUGUUUAUUUGUAAUGAAAUUAGUUCUAAUACCUACUGCUGGAUGCUCAACUUUCCCCUCACUAUGAAGAGAAAUGUUCACAUAUUUACUUCUGGUCUUAUUUAUAAUUCAUUGCAGAAUCACACUGUCUUCAGGAUAUUUUUCUCAGUUUGGUUUGUUACCAUCCUCUUUAGCAAUUGCUUAUAACUAAUUGGAUCGCUUGCACAUGGCCACACUCCUCUGAUAAGUCCCUGUUAUCCCACUCGCCCUCUGAAGGCUGCUCUGCUGGCUCCUCGAGGCACUCCAGUAAAACAGAGAGGUACUUGUCCCUUAGUACCAACCUAAAGCCAUUUAACAGACUGAGGGACACCCUCAUGGGUUUCUUCUGUCCAACGUACUCUCUUUAGCUACUGUUCAGAACCGGUUUCUUGGGCCCCCUAAAACUCGUAAACUUCAAAGCUCUGCAAUUCCCAGGAUUUUCCUCAUCUCCUUUUGAAGACAGGCAACAUAAUAGGGCUUCCCAGCCUUCUAGUGCUGCUGCGUUUUUCAAGGGAAGAAGGCAUCCCCUUGUCAGUAUCUUGGCUUUUUCUCACUUUAUUUCCCCUCAGAACUCCCAGAUGAACACCAUCCGGUUGUGGUGAUUUACUGCAUUUGAGUUUCUCAAGUUACGCUACAACUUCCUCCUCAGAGACUUCAAUCUGUAUAAAGGCCACACUCUGAUUUUCUUUGCAAAGUGCCUUUGGCACAGGAAUUUCUGCGCGACUCUCGGCAGCAGACAUGAUGCGAGGGAUUUAUUUAACUUCUCUGUUAGCUUGUUGCACUUAUCUCCUGACCCACUUUAUAUGGAUUCGUGAGGAUCUGUGGGGUGUUUUGGUGCAUAGCCCAACAUAAGAUUUAUAUUCACUUACAGGUGAGGCCCAGCCCUCACCUGGUGUUCUCUUGCUGUUCCACCAAAGGAUAUUUCUGCACAUUACUGCAGCCACUCUCCUUUCUUCCCACUCCUUUUCUGUUUUAAGAAAGAUAGAAGCUGCCAUACGGCCCAGCCAAUCUUCAGUGAUUAUGAAGGACAGAACUAGAACAUUAGAAAUGGUGCAAAAAUAUUCUCCAUGUCCUCUGGUCACUGUAGGCUGGUUUAAACUCCAGAUAUAUAUACUUGAUUUGAGAUAUAUGACAAACAAUGUUGCCCUUUGGUAUGAGAUGGAUAUAGAAUGGACAUCAGCU